This 497-nucleotide ribosomal RNA is filed under the name uncultured bacterium. RNAcentral describes it as "partial 16S ribosomal RNA". It matches the Rfam family "Bacterial small subunit ribosomal RNA", at positions 28 to 507 of the family's 1533-position model. The record is from RNAcentral.
GAUGAACGCUGGCGGCGUGCCUAAUACAUGCCAGUCGAGCGAACGGACGAGAAGCUUGCUUCUCUGAUGUUAGCGGCGGACGGGUGAGUAACACGUGGAUAACCUACCUAUAAGACUGGGAUAACUUCGGGAAACCGGAGCUAAUACCGGAUAAUAUUUUGAACCGCAUGGUUCAAAAGUGAAAGACGGUCUUGCUGUCACUUAUAGAUGGAUCCGCGCUGCAUUAGCUAGUUGGUAAGGUAACGGCUUACCAAGGCAACGAUGCAUAGCCGACCUGAGAGGGUGAUCGGCCACACUGGAACUGAGACACGGUCCAGACUCCUACGGGAGGCAGCAGUAGGGAAUCUUCCGCAAUGGGCGAAAGCCUGACGGAGCAACGCCGCGUGAGUGAUGAAGGUUUUCGGAUCGUAAAACUCUGUUAUUAGGGAAGAACAUAUGUGUAAGUAACUGUGCACAUCUUGACGGUACCUAAUCAGAAAGCCACGGCUAACUACGUG